GACUCGCUAGCUCAGGUGGUAGAGCACUUGACUUUUAAUCAAGGUGUCCGGGGUUCGAAUCCCCGGCGGGUCACCA
RNAcentral lists this transfer RNA (76 nucleotides) under Guopingia tenuis. Its description in RNAcentral is "tRNA-Lys". It matches the Rfam family "tRNA". Rfam says of the family: Transfer RNA (tRNA) molecules are approximately 80 nucleotides in length. Their secondary structure includes four short double-helical elements and three loops (D, anti-codon, and T loops). Lineage: Bacteria; Bacillati; Bacillota; Clostridia; Christensenellales; Christensenellaceae. The record is from RNAcentral.